CGGCGACGCGGCCAGGCGGGAGAGCAGCUCGCUCCACUCGUGCGCGGCGAGAUCGGGGUGCGCCGCGCGGAUCAGUUCCGCGGCCCCCGU
RNAcentral lists this transfer RNA (90 nucleotides) under Kiritimatiella glycovorans. RNAcentral's name for it is "tRNA-Trp". Lineage: Bacteria; Pseudomonadati; Kiritimatiellota; Kiritimatiellia; Kiritimatiellales; Kiritimatiellaceae. The record is from RNAcentral.